RNAcentral lists this ribosomal RNA (102 nucleotides) under Unedogemmula cf. bisaya MW-2014. RNAcentral's name for it is "partial 28S ribosomal RNA". The stretch from base 37 to 102 matches the Rfam family "Eukaryotic large subunit ribosomal RNA", at positions 1 to 66 of the family's 3401-position model. The record is from RNAcentral. Lineage: Eukaryota; Metazoa; Mollusca; Gastropoda; Neogastropoda; Turridae.
CCAGGGGUCGUCGGAUCGAACGAUCGUUUUCAUUUCCGACCUCAGAUCGGACGAGAUUACCCGCUGAAUUUAAGCAUAUCACUAAGCGGAGGAAAAGAAACU